Molecule: ribosomal RNA, 254 nt
Filed under: uncultured bacterium
Lineage: Bacteria
Description: partial 16S ribosomal RNA
Rfam family: Bacterial small subunit ribosomal RNA
Source: RNAcentral
UACGAAGGGGGGCUAGCGUUGCUCGGAAUUACUGGGCGUAAAGGGCGCGUAGGCGGAUAGUUUAGUCAGAGGUAAAAGCCCAGGGCUCAACCUUGGAACUGCCUUUGAUACUGGCUAUCUUGAGUACGGGAGAGGUGUGUGGAACUCCGAGUGUAGAGGUGAAAUUCGUAGAUAUUCGCAAGAACACCAGUGGCGAAGGCGGCUCACGUGGCCCGGUACUGACGCUGAGGCACGAAAGCGUGGGGAGCAAACAG